This 346-nucleotide ribosomal RNA is filed under the name uncultured bacterium. RNAcentral describes it as "bacterial SSU rRNA". It matches the Rfam family "Bacterial small subunit ribosomal RNA", at positions 8 to 334 of the family's 1533-position model. The record is from RNAcentral.
AGGGUUUGAUUAUGGCUCAGGAUGAACGCUGGCGGCGUGCUUAACACAUGCAAGUCGAACGAAGCUUGAUCCCGGAUCCCUUCGGGGUGACGGGUGAUAUGACUGAGUGGCGGACGGGUGAGUAACGCGUGGGCAACCUGCCUCAUACAGGGGGAUAACAGUUAGAAAUGACUGCUAAGACCGCAUAAGACCACAGCACCGCAUGGUGGAGUGGUAAAAGCUCCGGUGGUAUGAGAUGGGCCCGCGUCUGAUUAGCUGGUUGGUGAGGUAACGGCUCUACCAAGGCAACGAUCAGUAGCCGGCUUGAGAGAGUGAACGGCCACAUUGGGACUGAGACACGGCCCAA